GACGAACGCUGGCGGCGUGCUUAACACAUGCAAGUCGAACGGAAAGGCCCUGCUUGCAGGGUCCUCGAGUGGCGAACGGGUGAGUAACACGUGGGUGAUCUGCCCUGCACUUCGGGAUAAGCCUGGGAAACUGGGUCUAAUACCGGAUAGGAGCCAUUUUUAGUGUGAUGGUUGGAAAGUUUUUUCGGUGUAGGAUGAGCUCGCGGCCUAUCAGCUUGUUGGUGGGGUAAUGGCCUACCAAGGCGGCGACGGGUAGCCGGCCUGAGAGGGUGGACGGCCACAUUGGGACUGAGAUACGGCCCAGACGCCGACGGGAGGCAGCAGUGGGGAAGAUUGCACAAUGGGCGCAAGCCUGAUGCAGCGACGCCGCGUGGGGGAUGACGGCCUUCGGGUUGUAAACUCCUUUCGCUAGGGACGAAGCUUUUUGUGACGGUACCUAGAGAAGAAGCACCGGCUAACUACGUG
Molecule: ribosomal RNA, 465 nt
Filed under: uncultured bacterium
Lineage: Bacteria
Description: partial 16S ribosomal RNA
Rfam family: Bacterial small subunit ribosomal RNA
Source: RNAcentral